GGUUAAGCGACUAAGCGUACACGGUGGAUGCCCUGGCAGUCAGAGGCGAUGAAGGACGUGCUAAUCUGCGAUAAGCGUCGGUAAGGUGAUAUGAACCGUUAUAACCGGCGAUUUCCGAAUGGGGAAACCCAGUGUGUUUCGACACACUAUCAUUAACUGAAUCCAUAGGUUAAUGAGGCGAACCGGGGGAACUGAAACAUCUAAGUACCCCGAGGAAAAGAAAUCAACCGAGAUUCCCCCAGUAGCGGCGAGCGAACGGGGAGCAGCCCAGAGCCUGAAUCAGUGUGUGUGUUAGUGGAAGCGUCUGGAAAGGCGCGCGAUACAGGGUGACAGCCCCGUACACAAAAAUGCACAUGCUGUGAGCUCGAUGAGUAGGGCGGGACACGUGGUAUCCUGUCUGAAUAUGGGGGGACCAUCCUCCAAGGCUAAAUACUCCUGACUGACCGAUAGUGAACCAGUACCGUGAGGGAAAGGCGAAAAGAACCCCGGCGAGGGGAGUGAAAAAGAACCUGAAACCGUGUACGUACAAGCAGUGGGAGCACGCUUAGGCGUGUGACUGCGUACCUUUUGUAUAAUGGGUCAGCGACUUAUAUUCUGUAGCAAGGUUAACCGAAUAGGGGAGCCGAAGGGAAACCGAGUCUUAACUGGGCGUUAAGUUGCAGGGUAUAGACCCGAAACCCGGUGAUCUAGCCAUGGGCAGGUUGAAGGUUGGGUAACACUAACUGGAGGACCGAACCGACUAAUGUUGAAAAAUUAGCGGAUGACUUGUGGCUGGGGGUGAAAGGCCAAUCAAACCGGGAGAUAGCUGGUUCUCCCCGAAAGCUAUUUAGGUAGCGCCUCGUGAAUUCAUCUCCGGGGGUAGAGCACUGUUUCGGCAAGGGGGUCAUCCCGACUUACCAACCCGAUGCAAACUGCGAAUACCGGAGAAUGUUAUCACGGGAGACACACGGCGGGUGCUAACGUCCGUCGUGAAGAGGGAAACAACCCAGACCGCCAGCUAAGGUCCCAAAGUCAUGGUUAAGUGGGAAACGAUGUGGGAAGGCCCAGACAGCCAGGAUGUUGGCUUAGAAGCAGCCAUCAUUUAAAGAAAGCGUAAUAGCUCACUGGUCGAGUCGGCCUGCGCGGAAGAUGUAACGGGGCUAAACCAUGCACCGAAGCUGCGGCAGCGACGCUUAUGCGUUGUUGGGUAGGGGAGCGUUCUGUAAGCCUGUGAAGGUGUGCUGUGAGGCAUGCUGGAGGUAUCAGAAGUGCGAAUGCUGACAUAAGUAACGAUAAAGCGGGUGAAAAGCCCGCUCGCCGGAAGACCAAGGGUUCCUGUCCAACGUUAAUCGGGGCAGGGUGAGUCGACCCCUAAGGCGAGGCCGAAAGGCGUAGUCGAUGGGAAACAGGUUAAUAUUCCUGUACUUGGUGUUACUGCGAAGGGGGGACGGAGAAGGCUAUGUUG
This 1444-nucleotide ribosomal RNA is filed under the name Escherichia coli. Its description in RNAcentral is "23S ribosomal RNA". It matches the Rfam family "Bacterial large subunit ribosomal RNA", at positions 1 to 1489 of the family's 2925-position model. The record is from RNAcentral. Lineage: Bacteria; Pseudomonadati; Pseudomonadota; Gammaproteobacteria; Enterobacterales; Enterobacteriaceae.